This 1144-nucleotide ribosomal RNA is filed under the name Brachycephalus didactylus (Izecksohn's toad). RNAcentral describes it as "partial large subunit ribosomal RNA". It matches the Rfam family "Bacterial large subunit ribosomal RNA", at positions 454 to 2429 of the family's 2925-position model. The record is from RNAcentral. Lineage: Eukaryota; Metazoa; Chordata; Amphibia; Anura; Brachycephalidae.
CAGUAAGGAUGACUAAAAAGUUAUCAAGCGCAAUAGAUCCCGUACCGCAAGGGAAAGAUGAAAUAAAUGAAACACUAAAGCACUAAACAGUAGAGGGGCCCCUCGUACCUUUUGCAUCAUGAUUUAACUAGUCUAAGCAAGCACAAUGAAUUAAAGUUUGAAACCCCGAAACUGAGUGAGCUACUUCACGGCAGCAAACGAGCAAACCCUUCUCUGUUGCAAAAGAGUGGGAAGACCGUCAAGUAGCGGCGACACACCUAACGAACUCAGUGAUAGCUGGUUUCUCAAAAAAAGAAUCUUAGUUCACCCUAAAGCCACCAUAAUAACAUAAAUAAUAAUGUAACUUUAGAGCAAUCCAAACAAGGUACAGCCUGUUUGAAAAAGGAUACAACCUUCACUCGCGGGUAAUGUCAUCAACCCCUACUAAGUGGGCCUAAAAACAGCCACCCUUUAAAAUGCGUUAAAGCUUCAUCUCCACAAACACACCCUACCCACCCUGACCCCCCAAUUACUAUUGAGAACUUCUAUACCAUAUUGAAACUUUAAUGUUAAAACUAGUAACAAGAAACUAUUCUCUUAAAUACACGUGUAAGUUAGAACGGACCUCCCACUAACACUUACCCCGCUGUGAGAAAUAAUAAUAACCCGUUUAAAAAAUUCUAUUAAUUAUUCUGUUAACCCUACACAAGAGUACUUCAAGAAAGAUAAAAAUGGAAAGAAGGAACUCGGCAAACCCAGAUCCCGCCUGUUUACUAAAAACACCGCCUCUUGACUUCUAUAAGAGGUCCAGCCUGCCCAGUGAAAAUUUCAACGGCCGCGGUAACCUGACCGUGCAAAGGUAGCGUAAUCACUUGUUUUUUAAAUAAAGACUAGUAUGAAUGGCACCACGAGGAUCAAACUGUCUCCUUUCCACAAUCAGUGAAACUAAUCUCCUAGUGAAAAAGCAAGGAUGUUACUGUAAGACGAAAAGACCCUGUGGAGCUUUAAACAAAUAACUAAUGCCAUACUUCCCCUCUUAUCCCGCACCUUAGUUACUAAUUUUGGUUGGGGUGACCGCGGAGAAAAAUCUAUCCUCCAUGACGAAUUCUUUAAACAAAACUACAGCUUUACUUCACAAUAAAUUGACGCACUGACCCAAUAACUU